ACUACCCAAUUUAUGAAUAAUAAUAAAGUUUUAAGUAGAAAAGCGUACUUCACCGAAAACACAAAAGUUAGCCUCUUGGAGUUGUUUUCUGCAAAAACGGAUGCCAAAAUCGGAUUCACAACGUCAAAAUUAGUCAAGCAGGACACCUUCAAUUUUUUUUUGGUUGACGUGGCACUAGAUGGCGUGUUUGAUGAGGUGGCAGGAUGAAGUGGCAGAUGAUUGCUGGCGUGGUGAUGAUGUGUCGAUGAGGUGGUGGGAUGAUGUGGCAGUGGUUGGCUGACGUGGUGAUGAUGUAUUUGAUGAGGUGGCAGGAUGACGUGGUCCUUUGAUGAGCGGCAAUGAUGAUGUGGCAGGGAUUGCUGACUUGGCGAUGACAUGUCGAUGAUGUGGUAGGAUGACGUGGUGAGAUGAUGUGGCACUCAAUUGCAAACAUGUCGAUGAGGUGGCAAGAUGAUGCCACAGUGGUUGGCUGACAUGGCGGCAGCUUCUGGGUUUCUCCAUUUCACAAUUUUUUUUUGAAUAAACAGUAAACUAAAGAUAAAAAUUUAAUGGAAGAAGUUUGAGAUUUUAGAAGGCAAGAACACAGAUUUGAAAGCU
RNAcentral lists this unclassified non-coding RNA (597 nucleotides) under Hevea brasiliensis (rubber tree). Lineage: Eukaryota; Viridiplantae; Streptophyta; Magnoliopsida; Malpighiales; Euphorbiaceae. The record is from RNAcentral.